GGACCCGCACAAGCGGUGGAUGAUGUGGAUUAAUUCGAUGCAACGCGAACAACCUUACCUACCCUUGACAUGUCUGGAAGCCUGCUGAGAGGCGGGUGUGCCCGAAAGGGAACCGGAACACAGGUGCUGCAUGGCUGUCGUCAGCUCGUGUCGUGAGAUGUUGGGUUAAGUCCCGCAACGAGCGCAACCCUUGUCCCUAGUUGCUACGCAAGGGCACUCUAGGGAGACUGCCGGUGACAAACCGGAGGAAGGUGGGGAUGACGUCAAGUCCUCAUGGCCCUUAUGGGUAGGGCUUCACACGUCAUACAAUGGCCGGUACAGAGGGUUGCCAAGCCGCGAGGCGGAGCCAAUCCCAGAAAGCCGGUCGUAGUCCGGAUUGCAGUCUGCAACUCGACUGCAUGAAGUCGGAAUCGCUAGUAAUCGCGGAUCAGCAUGUCGCGGUGAAUACGUUCCCGGGUCUU
RNAcentral lists this ribosomal RNA (461 nucleotides) under uncultured bacterium. Its description in RNAcentral is "bacterial SSU rRNA". It matches the Rfam family "Bacterial small subunit ribosomal RNA", at positions 917 to 1382 of the family's 1533-position model. The record is from RNAcentral.